RNAcentral lists this long non-coding RNA (219 nucleotides) under Lathyrus oleraceus (garden pea). Its description in RNAcentral is "Pisum sativum (pea) long non-coding RNA (PSAT_LNC040768)". Lineage: Eukaryota; Viridiplantae; Streptophyta; Magnoliopsida; Fabales; Fabaceae. The record is from RNAcentral.
UGUAUCCGAGGCAGAGGAAGAUGAUGUUGAAGGGGAUUCCUGACGAGAUUACCCGAGCACUUGAGCAAUGAAAAGCAGAUCAUUCAGCUGCGUCUCAAGAACCCAACAACAGUCAAACUGGGGCAUUGCAAAUGCAAAAAAAAAAGAAGAGGGAAAAAAGAAUGAAAAAUCAAAAAAUCAGGAAAAAAAUUUCAAAGUCUUUUUUUUCAAAAGAAAAAA